CUACAAUCGCGCUAUUCAUAUAAUUAUUCGAUUUCAUUUGUUCAGCAUAUGUCUCA
Molecule: small RNA, 56 nt
Filed under: Staphylococcus aureus
Lineage: Bacteria; Bacillati; Bacillota; Bacilli; Caryophanales; Staphylococcaceae
Description: 5'UTR
Source: RNAcentral